AAACCAAACCGGCUCCGAGCUUGUGAUCCUAAGUUGUCGAUACGGCAAUAUGGUAACAAUGCCAGUGAUAAAAAUGAUAGUCAAUCACUCAAUGGAUAGCAGAUAAAUCGGUUGUUCACUCAUGUUUAGAAAGGUGCCAAAUUUUAACUUGU
This 152-nucleotide non-coding RNA is filed under the name Rodentibacter caecimuris. RNAcentral's name for it is "Rodentibacter heylii MoCo sequence". It matches the Rfam family "Molybdenum/Tungsten riboswitch aptamer (Moco RNA motif)". The record is from RNAcentral. Lineage: Bacteria; Pseudomonadati; Pseudomonadota; Gammaproteobacteria; Pasteurellales; Pasteurellaceae.